Molecule: long non-coding RNA, 1031 nt
Organism: Nothobranchius furzeri (turquoise killifish)
Lineage: Eukaryota; Metazoa; Chordata; Actinopteri; Cyprinodontiformes; Nothobranchiidae
Source: RefSeq, a predicted model, not a curated record
CAAAGUUUUCACAUGGUUGAAAAGAUAAACUUGACAUCUUCCAGAGUGCCUCAGCUCGGUCUCAUUGUGAAGGAAAGAGUGUUUGACACAUAUCUAGGCCAGACACCUCUUAUAGGUUUACCAGUGAGGGGGUGGGGUGGGUUCAGAUGGAGCGCUUGUCUACGUCUGGCUCUCUUCCUGAUGAUGACUCAUCAGACUCACAAGGGGGUUGGGGGCUUUCCUCAGCUUACCACGUGAUUGUUGUUUUGCUUCUCUCUCCCUUCUACAGGCCUUUUACAGCUCCACGCCAAUUUUCCCCGUUUCUUUCUGCUCUUAUCGCUGUGUUUAUCUCUCUGUCACAGCUUUGAGGCUGGAGCAUAUCAAAGUCUGCCCUUAUAAGGCCUGUUUGUGACAAUGGGUCUGCUGCUGACAGCCCCAGUCAGGACCGGGCCCUCCUGGGGCGUUGAGCUGUGGGUGAUUCCUGGCGCUCCCGCUCACCGACAGGCACAGGCAAACAGGACGUAGAUUUUCAGUUGCAGGGAUGUUUAGUCUGCUACGGUCUGAAGGAAGAAGCUUGUUAAAGGAAAAACCCUAGCUCCUCAGGAUAGAUCUGUGUGUCAUGAUCCUCCUGCUGAGGUCAGUGCUCCUCCUAAAUUAACCAUCUUUGAGGUUCUGUGUCCCACAGGUGAGGAGCAGAGCGUCACCAGGUGUGCUGAAUCAAUCAUUAGGAGCUCGGGUUUAAAAGGAGGAUGGAGACACCACUCGAAGCCGGAUGAUCACUCCAGUAUUGGAUUACCACCACAACCUUCACCGAUUCUGCUAAUAACCACGGAUCUUCAUACACGUCCCAUCCUCCUCCACCGCUCCUGCAUCUCCCCUCUCUGCUUCCUCACCUCCCGUCCGGCUGGAUCGCCACACUCGUCACCUUGGCACCCCGCUUGUCCUGCAGCUCGCUGAGCUCAGAACUCUGAACGAUCGCCCACGGCAUCAUGUACUGGAUUUCAGUGCUCCUUUAAUUCCCGUUUGUUUAAUAAAAGACGUUUAAUUUCUUA